CAAGCAUGCCGGGGGAACCCCCAAGCUCCUGUGGGAUGCUCCAUCCGCCCCACCAUCACAGCAUUCAUGAGCCGCACCUGGUACCUUGAGGAAUUCCUCUGACUAGGAAAAGAAAUAACAUGCACAGGGAUGCCCCAAGGAAGAGGAUUUACUGUAGUCCAGUGACCAGUCUGCUUCUACAGCAGACAACACAUUUGCUUUGCUCCUUACCUUCAAACUGACCUAUUCAUCUGAUCACUGAGGACAAAAUGUUGCUUCAGGAGAAAAACUCUUUUAUGGAACAACACUCAGAUAAAGUCUUCAUAGAAGGUAAAUGACUAUGUGCAUGGAGUAUGGGUUUCUCCCAAUAAUAUAGCAUUGUGACCCAUACUAGCUUCAGUGGAAAUUGCAGGCAUCUAUAGAAGGCAGUCUAGACCCCAGCAUAUAUGCAGUAGGCUGAAGAGAAUGCUAAUAAGGUUUGCUGGUGUGAAUAAUUAUUUUGAGCAGCCAAACUUCAGUGAAUGCUGUCUUUGCUUGCUUCAUCUUCUGAAUUUUUCUUCCUUGCACAGAACAAUGGACAUAACUGCCCUUAUCUCUAUAGAGAACCCCUUGAAGAUGCAUCUGUGUCCCAAAUUAUUUGAACUCUGAUAUCAGGGCUUGUAUUGUGGAAUAAAAGGUUUUCCUAAUGAA
Long non-coding RNA from Alligator mississippiensis (American alligator), 669 nucleotides. RefSeq lists it as uncharacterized. The record is from RefSeq and is a predicted model, not a curated record. NCBI's taxonomy places the organism in Eukaryota, Metazoa, Chordata, Crocodylia, Alligatoridae. The transcript has 2 exons.